GUGCUUGCUUCAGCAGCACAUAUACUAAAAGUGGAACAAUACAGAGAAGAUUAGCAUGGCCCCUGUGCAAGGAUGACAUGCAAAUUCGUGGAGAGUUCCCUAUUAAA
This 107-nucleotide small nuclear RNA is filed under the name Sciurus vulgaris (Eurasian red squirrel). The record is from RNAcentral. Lineage: Eukaryota; Metazoa; Chordata; Mammalia; Rodentia; Sciuridae.